GGAACAAGCUAGGGUUUUAACAAGAUGCUCAUCAUCAUUAUGCAUUCGAAAUUCCAUCAUGCACAGAACAAAAAAAAUCAACAUACCAAUAGCAUCAUUAGACCAAGAAUAAGCAUAAUCCAACACCCAUUCUCCUUUAAAAACAAACUAACUAAAGAGCAGUAAACCAAAACACACAUGAACAUCAAAUUUCAGAUUGACAUAUCUUUACUAACAGCUAACCAUUUUCAACAACUUAUAGCUCACGACAAUCAACAAAGAGGGAUCUUC
This 270-nucleotide long non-coding RNA is filed under the name Lathyrus oleraceus (garden pea). RNAcentral describes it as "Pisum sativum (pea) long non-coding RNA (PSAT_LNC019399)". The record is from RNAcentral. Lineage: Eukaryota; Viridiplantae; Streptophyta; Magnoliopsida; Fabales; Fabaceae.